CGCUCGGUAGUACAACGGUUAGUGCGUCCGUAUCUGCUGAGAUUGUGACACACAGAAAGUAGGGUGGAAGAUCCCCGUUCGAUUCGGGGUCGGGCGA
Non-coding RNA from Mycena crocata, 97 nucleotides. Lineage: Eukaryota; Fungi; Basidiomycota; Agaricomycetes; Agaricales; Mycenaceae. The record is from the annotation of a GenBank genome assembly.